CCUACGGGAGGCAGCAGUGGGGAAUAUUGCACAAUGGGGGAAACCCUGAUGCAGCGACGCCGCGUGAGUGAAGAAGUAUUUCGGUAUGUAAAGCUCUAUCAGCAGGGAAGAUAAUGACGGUACCUGACUAAGAAGCCCCGGCUAAAUACGUGCCAGCAGCCGCGGUAAUACGUAUGGGGCAAGCGUUAUCCGGAUUUACUGGGUGUAAAGGGAGCGUAGACGGUUAUGUAAGUCUGGAGUGAAAGCCCGGGGCCCAACCCCGGGACUGCUUUGGAAACUGUGUAACUGGAGUACAGGAGGGGCAG
This 305-nucleotide ribosomal RNA is filed under the name uncultured bacterium. RNAcentral describes it as "bacterial SSU rRNA". It matches the Rfam family "Bacterial small subunit ribosomal RNA", at positions 338 to 660 of the family's 1533-position model. The record is from RNAcentral.